GUGCCAGCAGCCGCGAGCAUACAGAGGGUGCAAGCGUUAAUCGGAUUUACUGGGCGUAAAGCGCGCGUAGGUGGCCCAUUAAGUCAAAUGUGAAAUCCCCGAGCUUAACUUGGGAAUUGCAUUCGAUACUGGUUGGCUAGAGUAUGGGAGAGGAUGGUAGAAUUCCAGGUGUAGCGGUGAAAUGCGUAGAGAUCUGGAGGAAUACCGAUGGCGAAGGCAGCCAUCUGGCCUAAUACUGACACUGAGGUGCGAAAGCAUGGGGAGCAAACAGGAUUAGAUACCCUGGUAGUCC
Molecule: ribosomal RNA, 292 nt
Filed under: uncultured microorganism
Description: partial 16S ribosomal RNA
Rfam family: Bacterial small subunit ribosomal RNA
Source: RNAcentral